CAAUAGCGUAUACUAAUGUUGUUGCAGUUAAAAAGCUCGUAGUUGAACUUCUGGUAGGAGUGUCCCGGCCUUUUUGUUUUUACAAAUUGUAUGCUGUGUGACAUCUCUGGCCAUCCUUCUUCUUUGUUUAAAGAAGAUCUUUCACUGUAAAAAAAUUAGGGUGUUCAAAGCAAAAGUUUCUUUGGAAUAUAUUAGUACGGGAUGAUAAGAUAGGCUCUAGAUGCUAUUUUGUUGGUUUGCACAUUUAGAGAAUGAUUAACAGGGACAGUUGGGGGUAUUCGUAUUUACAUGUCAGAGGUGAAAUUCUUGGAUUUUGGAAAGACGAACUACUGCGAAAGCAUUUACCAAGGAUGUUUUCAUUAA
This 363-nucleotide ribosomal RNA is filed under the name uncultured eukaryote. RNAcentral describes it as "partial 18S ribosomal RNA". It matches the Rfam family "Eukaryotic small subunit ribosomal RNA", at positions 592 to 976 of the family's 1831-position model. The record is from RNAcentral.